This 252-nucleotide ribosomal RNA is filed under the name uncultured bacterium. Its description in RNAcentral is "partial 16S ribosomal RNA". It matches the Rfam family "Bacterial small subunit ribosomal RNA", at positions 524 to 776 of the family's 1533-position model. The record is from RNAcentral.
UACAGAGGGGGCAAGCGUUGUUCGGAAUUACUGGGCGUAAAGGGCGCGUAGGCGGCCUUCUAAGUCGAACGUGAAAUCCCCGGGCUCAACCCGGGAACUGCGUCCGAUACUGGAAGGCUUGAAUCCGGGAGAGGGAUGUGGAAUUCCAGGUGUAGCGGUGAAAUGCGCAGAUAUCAGGAGGAACACCAAUGGCGAAGGCAGCACUCUGGGACGUGACUGACGCUGAGACGCGAAGCGUGGGGAGCAAACAGG